AUUGAACGCUGGCGGAAUGCUUUACACAUGCAAGUCGAACGGUAGAGGGGGCAACCCCUUGAGAGUGGCGAACGGGUGAGUAAUAUAUCGGAACGUGCCCAGUCGUGGGGGAUAACGUAGCGAAAGUUACGCUAAUACCGCAUACGAUCUAAGGAUGAAAGCGGGGGAUCGCAAGACCUCGCGCGACUGGAGCGGCCGAUAUCAGAUUAGGUAGUUGGUAGGGUAAAGGCCUACCAAGCCAACGAUCUGUAGCUGGUCUGAGAGGACGACCAGCCACACUGGAACUGAGACACGGUCCAGACUCCUACGGGAGGCAGCAGUGGGGAAUUUUGGACAAUGGGCGAAAGCCUGAUCCAGCCAUUCCGCGUGCAGGAUGAAGGCCCUCGGGUUGUAAACUGCUUUUGUACAGAACGAAAAGGUUUCUAUUAAUACUAGGAGCUCAUGACGGUACUGUAAGAAUAAGCACCGGCUAACUACGUGCCAGCAGCCGCGGUAAUACGUAGGGUGCAAGCGUUAAUCGGAAUUACUGGGCGUAAAGCGUGCGCAGGCGGUUAUAUAAGUCAGAUGUGAAAUCCCCGGGCUCAACCUGGGAACUGCAUUUGAGACUGUAUAGCUAGAGUACGGUAGAGGGGGAUGGAAUUCCGCGUGUAGCAGUGAAAUGCGUAGAUAUGCGGAGGAACACCGAUGGCGAAGGCAAU
Molecule: ribosomal RNA, 698 nt
Filed under: Pseudomonadota bacterium
Lineage: Bacteria; Pseudomonadati; Pseudomonadota
Description: bacterial SSU rRNA
Rfam family: Bacterial small subunit ribosomal RNA
Source: RNAcentral